UGCCAGCAGCCGCGGUAAUACGGAGGAUCCAAGCGUUAUCCGGAAUCAUUGGGUUUAAAGGGUCCGCAGGCGGACUAAUAAGUCAGUGGUGAAAUCCCAUCGCUUAACGAUGGAACUGCCAUUGAAACUGUUAGUCUUGAAUUCGGUCGAAGUGGGCGGAAUGUGUCAUGUAGCGGUGAAAUGCAUAGAUAUGACACAGAACACCGAUAGCGAAGGCAGCUCACUGGCUCGAUACUGACGCUGAGGUGCGAAAGUGUGGGGAGCAAACAGGAUUAGAUA
This 279-nucleotide ribosomal RNA is filed under the name uncultured bacterium. RNAcentral's name for it is "partial 16S ribosomal RNA". It matches the Rfam family "Bacterial small subunit ribosomal RNA", at positions 506 to 784 of the family's 1533-position model. The record is from RNAcentral.